Molecule: unclassified non-coding RNA, 295 nt
Organism: Papio anubis (olive baboon)
Lineage: Eukaryota; Metazoa; Chordata; Mammalia; Primates; Cercopithecidae
Rfam family: Metazoan signal recognition particle RNA
About the family: The signal recognition particle (SRP) is a universally conserved ribonucleoprotein. It is involved in the co-translational targeting of proteins to membranes.
Source: Ensembl
GCUGGGUCUGAUGGCAUGCAUCUGUAGUCCUAGCUACUUGGGAGGCUGAGGUGGGAGGAUUGCUUGAGUCCAGGAGUUCUGGGCUGUUGUGUGCUACGCCGAUUGGGUGUCUGCACUAAUUUCGGCAUCAGUACGGUGACCUUCCGGGAGUGAGGCACCGCCAGGUUGCCUAAGGAGGAGUGAACCAGCCCAGAAACUGAGCAGAUCAAAACUCCAGCGCUGAUCAAUACUGGCAUUGCACCUCUGAGUAGUCUCUGCUCUCUGGCCUGGGCAACAGACAGAGACCGUGUUUCUU